This 75-nucleotide transfer RNA is filed under the name Verrucomicrobiota bacterium. RNAcentral describes it as "Verrucomicrobia bacterium (groundwater metagenome) tRNA-Asn". It matches the Rfam family "tRNA". Rfam says of the family: Transfer RNA (tRNA) molecules are approximately 80 nucleotides in length. Their secondary structure includes four short double-helical elements and three loops (D, anti-codon, and T loops). Lineage: Bacteria; Pseudomonadati; Verrucomicrobiota. The record is from RNAcentral.
UCCCCGGUAGUUCAACCAGUAGAACGCCGCACUGUUAAUGCGGAUGUGCAGGGGCGGAGCCUGCCUGGGGAGCCA